RNAcentral lists this ribosomal RNA (508 nucleotides) under uncultured bacterium. RNAcentral's name for it is "bacterial SSU rRNA". It matches the Rfam family "Bacterial small subunit ribosomal RNA", at positions 373 to 896 of the family's 1533-position model. The record is from RNAcentral.
GGGCGCAACUGAUGCAGCGACGCCGCGUGGGUGACGAAGGUCUUCGGAUCGUAAAGCCCUUUUCUGCGUGACGAGCAAGGACGGUAGCGCAGGAAUAAGUCUCGGCUAACUACGUGCCAGCAGCCGCGGUAAAACGUAGGAGACAAACGUUAUCCGGAGUUACUGGGCGUAAAGGGCGUGCAGGCGGUUGGUUAAGUCUGGCGUGAAAGCUCUUGGCUAAACCGGGAGAGGUCGUUGGAGACUGGCUGACUAGAGGACGGUAGAGGCGUGUGGAAUUCCGGGUGUAGUGGUGAAAUGCGUAGAGAUCCGGAGGAACACCAGUGGCGAAGGCGACACGCUGGGCCGUACCUGACGCUAAGACGCGACAGCAUGGGGAGCGAACGGGAUUAGAAACCCCGGUAGUCCAUGCCGUAAACGAUGCCAGCUAGGUGUUCAGGGGGCGCAAGCCGCCGGGGUACCGCAGCUAACGCGUUAAGCUGGCCGCCUGGGGAGUACGGUCGCAAGGCUA